GCUGUGAGUUGUUUCUUUUGAAAAUGACUGCUUGAUGAUAAGUUUCAAACAACUAUGAAGUGAGUGGAUGUUCUAGAGAGACUAAUUCUUCAAAGAAUGAAUGAUCAUCAUCAUGCUUAUAUUGGAAUAAAAGGAAGGAAGUGACAGCUACAGUCAUGGUAAAAGUAAAUGCAGUCAGAAGACCUCUUAUUUCACCUGAAGAGCCAGCCUUUUCAAGUUCUGUAUCAAAUAAAAGUAACAAGGACUGCUAAAAAUACCUUUUAUAACUUGCAAAUGUGCAGUCUGUGACAUAACUGUCUGAUCCAGGUAGUUUAGUGUUGACAAGAUGACAUUUCAUCUCUGUUAGAGUAGAGGACACAAGUUUGAAAUGCAGUAUGUCAUUGUGAAGGCAAAAUGUUUAUGAAAAUAGUGUGUGUGUUUUCCAAAUAGAGAGGCUGAAAGUGGGGAAUCAUCAAUUUAAUAGUGUUUUUGGAAUAAGUUAUGGUCAUCAGAAUAGUAAUAAUCUGUCCCUUUUUUGGAUUGCCACAGACCAAAAAAAAUGAUUGGUGCCUUUG
Long non-coding RNA from Mercenaria mercenaria, 554 nucleotides. RefSeq lists it as uncharacterized. The record is from RefSeq and is a predicted model, not a curated record. The transcript is spliced from 3 exons. NCBI's taxonomy places the organism in Eukaryota, Metazoa, Mollusca, Bivalvia, Venerida, Veneridae.